RNAcentral lists this non-coding RNA (21 nucleotides) under Caenorhabditis elegans. The record is from RNAcentral. Lineage: Eukaryota; Metazoa; Nematoda; Chromadorea; Rhabditida; Rhabditidae.
UAUUAGGUCUAUCCUUUUCAA